This 355-nucleotide unclassified non-coding RNA is filed under the name Hevea brasiliensis (rubber tree). Lineage: Eukaryota; Viridiplantae; Streptophyta; Magnoliopsida; Malpighiales; Euphorbiaceae. The record is from RNAcentral.
AAAAAAAAAUGAAGAAAACGCUUUAAACAUUAAAAUAUAGCAGCAAUAGAUCAGAAAGAGAAUACAUAUAAGCACAUACAAACACGGAAGAUCUGUUUGGUUAUUGGAAAAAAACACAUGCCGGAAACCCAAGACGGUUUCCAAAAAUUAACAAUCUAAUUAAGAAAAGAUCUAACUACAAUAAUUUAGCUAAAAUUAGCACUUCCAAUACAGUACUUAAACCCCCCAGAACAGUAAAAAUAACAAAACAAAGAGAAAGUCAAAACAUUUCUUCUAAUUUCCUCAAUUUUCUCAGCAACCAAGCAGAACACAAGGAGAGAGAGAGAGAGAGCUUACCAGAGAAAACCGAGUUGAG